AGAGCGCAGGGUGGAUGCCUUGGCACUAAGAGCCGAAGAAAGACGUGAUAAGCUGCGAAAAGCUGCGGGGAGAUGCAAAUAAUCCUUGAUCCGCAGAUGUCUGAAUGGGGAAACCCGGUACGAAGAACUCGUAUCAUCCAUACGCCAAUCCAUAACGUAUGGAGGGGAACCCGGUGAACUGAAACAUCUAAGUAGCCGGAGGAAGAGAAAGAAACAUCGAUUUUGUUAGUAGCGGCGAGCGAAAGCGAAAGAGGCCAAACCGGAGUGCGUGCACUCCGGGGUUCGGACCGCAUUUAAGAUUCAGUGAUUCUAGCAGAAAGGUUUGGGAAAGCCUGCCGGAGAGGGUGAAAGCCCCGUAAGCGAAAGGAAAACUGACUGAGCGGGAUCCAGAGUACAUCGAGACACGAGAAACCUUGAUGGAAUGAGCGGGGACCACCCCGUAAGCCUAAAUACUACUUAGUGACCGAUAGCGCAUAGUACUGUGAAGGAAAGGUGAAAAGGACCCCGGGAGGGGAGUGAAAGAGAACCUGAAACCCUGUGUUUACAAGCUGUGGAAGUUCUUUAAAUGAACAACCGCGUACUUUUUGUAGAACGGUCCGGCGAGUUGCGGAUACUGGCAAGGUUAAGCACUUAAGGUGCGGAGCCGAAGGGAUACCAAGUCUUAACAGGGCGUUAAGUCAGUAUACGCAGACCCGAAACCGGGUGAUCUAUCCAUGUCCAGGUUGAAGUUGUCGUAAAAGACAAUGGAGGACCGAAGCCACAUCCGUUGAAAAGGGUGGGCAUGAGGUGUGGAUAGGGGAGAAAUUCCAAUCGAACCCGGAGAUAGCUGGUUCUCCUCGAAAUAGCUUUAGGGCUAGCCUCGAUUUAGUCUUAUGGAGGUAGAGCACUGAAUUUCCGCGGGGGCGUCAAAGCUUACCAAAGAAUAUCAAACUCCGAAUGCCAUGUAGAUGAUGAUCGGGAGUCAGACUGCACGAGAUAAGUUGGGCAGUCAAAAGGGAAAGAGCCCAGACCACCGGCUAAGGUCCCAAAGUGCGUGUUAAGUGGAAAAGGAUGUGGGAAUUCGAAGACAACUAGGAUGUUGGCUCAGAAGCAGCCAUACAUUCAAAGAGUGCGUAACAGCUCACUAGUCGAGAGUUCCUGCGCCGAAAAUGUCCGGGGCUGAAACACGACACCGAAGCCGUGGACUCGCAAUGCGAGUGGUAGAGGAGCAUUCUUAAAACCGACGAAGCUGUACCGGAAGGAGCAGUGGAGGGAUAAGAAGAGAGAAUGCCGGAAUGAGUAGCGAGAGAAAGGUGGGAAUCCUUUCGGCCGAAUAUCUAAGGUUUCCAGAGUAAAGCUGAUCUGCUCUGGGUAAGUCGGGGCCUAAGCACAGGUCGCAAGACGUAAGCGAUGGAUAACAGGUUUAGAUUCCUGUACCACGCAUUAUCAGAACUGUAGGGACGCAUGUGGAAAGCACGGGCCGGGAAUGGAAAUACCGGUACAAGCGGGGUAGGUGUACGAUAGGCAAAUCCGUCGUAUAAUCCGAAGACGUGAUGUGGAGCGAAAUAAAGUAGCANNNNNNNNNNAUCAGAACUGUAGGGACGCAUGUGGAAAGCACGGGCCGGGAAUGGAAAGACCGGUACAAGCGGGGUAGGUGUACAAUAGGCAAAUCCGUUGUAUAAUCCGAAGACGUGAUGUGGAGCGAAAUAAAGUAGUGAAGCGUGUGAGCCAUGUGCCGAGAAAAGCUGCUAUUGUGUAAUGCGUGCCCGUACCGUAAACCGACACAGGUGGAUGAGGAGAGAAUCCUAAGGCCGGCGGAAGAAGCAUUGUUAAGGAAUUCGGCAAAAUGACCCCGUAACUUCGGGAGAAGGGGUGCCUGCGAGAGCAGGCCGCAGAGAAUAGGCUCAAGCAACUGUUUAGCAAAAACACAGGUCUAUGCGAAACCGAAAGGUGAAGUAUAUGGGCUGACGCCUGCCCGGUGCUGGAAGGUUAAGAGGAGAGGUUAGCUUCGGCGAAGCUUUGAAUUUAAGCCCCAGUAAACGGCGGCCGUAACUAUAACGGUCCUAAGGUAGCGAAAUUCCUUGUCGGGUAAGUUCCGACCCGCACGAAAGGCGUAAUGAUUUGAGCACUGUCUCGACAAUGCAUCCGGUGAAAUUGAAGUACCAGUGAAGAUGCUGGUUACCCGCGCCAGGACGGAAAGACCCCAUGGAGCUUUACUCCAGUUUGAUACUGGGAUUCGGUACUGCAUGUACAGGAUAGGUGGGAGACGGAGAAGGAUGGACGCCAGUCUGUCCGGAGUCGCUGUUGGGAUACCACCCCUGUAGUACUGGGUUUCUAACCAGUNNNNNNNNNNCCGGAGUCGCUGUUGGGAUACCACCCCUGUAGUACUGGGUUUCUAACCAGUUGCCAUGAACUGGCAAUGGGACAAUGUCAGGCGGGGAGUUUGACUGGGGCGGUCGCCUCCGAAAGGGUAUCGGAGGCGCUCAAAGGUUCCCUCAGAAUGGUUGGAAACCAUUUGAAGAGUGCAAAGGCAGAAGGGAGCUUGACUGCGACACCGACGGGUGGAGCAGGUACGAAAGUAGGACUUAGUGAUCCGGUGGUAUAAAGUGGGAUUGCCAUCGCUCAACGGAUAAAAGCUACCCUGGGGAUAACAGGCUUAUCACUCCCAAGAGUUCACAUCGACGGAGUGGUUUGGCACCUCGAUGUCGGCUCAUCGCAUCCUGGGGCUGUAGCAGGUCCCAAGGGUUGGGCUGUUCGCCCAUUAAAGCGGUACGCGAGCUGGGUUCAGAACGUCGUGAGACAGUUCGGUCCCUAUCCGGCGCGGGCGGAGGAUAUUUGAGAGGAGCUGUCCUUAGUACGAGAGGACCGGGAUGGACGGACCACUGGUGUAUCUGUUGUCGACCAACGGCAUGGCAGAGUAGCCAAGUCUGGAAGGGAUAAACGCUGAAGGCAUCUAAGCGUGAAGCCCCCCUCAAGAUGAGAUAUCCCUCCUUCGGGAGUAAGACCCCUUGAAGACUACAAGGUAGAUAGGGCAGAGGUGGAAGCAUGGCAACAUGUGGAGCUGACUGUUACUAAUAGGUCGAGGGCUUAAUCU
Molecule: ribosomal RNA, 3073 nt
Filed under: Agathobacter rectalis
Lineage: Bacteria; Bacillati; Bacillota; Clostridia; Lachnospirales; Lachnospiraceae
Description: bacterial LSU rRNA
Rfam family: Bacterial large subunit ribosomal RNA
Source: RNAcentral